RNAcentral lists this ribosomal RNA (1131 nucleotides) under Triticum aestivum (bread wheat). RNAcentral's name for it is "partial small subunit ribosomal RNA". Lineage: Eukaryota; Viridiplantae; Streptophyta; Magnoliopsida; Poales; Poaceae. The record is from RNAcentral.
AUGUUUUCCCCUCCGAUCUGUUAUCCCAGCUGGUCAGAAACAAUUCAAAUGGAAACCAAUGGGUUAUCUCUCAAGACUCAGGAAAUCGGGUCAAAAAGGAAGUGGGAGACUACCACAGACCUCAGCCGCCGCUUUUGCAGUAAUCAACAUGAAAAUCCAUGGAAUGAUGGUUCGCUCACUACCUCGCUAGGGAGCCAUAAAGAUUUCCGCUUUUGCAACCAACGUGAAAGUCCAUGGGAAGGCGGUAGAACAGAGCAUCAGGACAAAAUGAAUGGGAUAAUCACUUGUUUGGUUUGUGGCAAGGAAGGACAUUACAGUUGUGACUACCCUUUCAAGGAUCAGGAGCACAAAGUCAUUUGCACACUCUGUAGCAAAAAUGGCCACUGGAGCAUAUCGUGUUGCCAGCAGAACAAGUCGGAGAAUCGCGCUUGCACCCUCUGUGGAGAGAUAGGGCAUAGUACUAGUACACAUGGUCUCCUCAGUUGCUCAAGCUGUGACGAAUAUCAUCCGCAUGGAGAGUGUCGAUUGAGCAAAGUUAAAUGCUUUAUUUGUGAAAGUCAGGAUCAUUAUCCUGCUCAGUGCCCCUUGAAUUGGGUAUUGAAUGCAGCGUUUCAGGAUCAAAGAGAGAACUUCCAAGCUGCUCUGUGGCUUGCACUAUCAAAACAAGUCAACACAUUAUCUAAACGGACCUGCCAUCAAGUCAGUCCAAUAGCCAGGGCAUACAACUUAAGGCCAAGGAUAUGCUUUACAUGCCGUGAAGAAGGUCAUGUUGCCUUUUACUGUCCUCAGAAAAGAAGAUCAAUAUUGCCCGACCUAUCCAAAGAAUUUGAAGAGAGCAGCACCAUAGCUAAAUCCUCCAACCUGUCCAAAGAAUUAGAAGAACGGGACCCUGGUACUGCUAGUGCUAAACAAUCAUCAAAAAUGAAACCGGCAUCGGUUCUUCGAUGUGUUAGCUGUGGUCAGGAAGGGCACAGGGCAAGGAGCUGUCCAACACGAGUGUUUAUAUGCUCCUUAUGCAAUGAAGAAGGCCACCGGGCCAGGAGCUGUCCAACACGAGUGUUUAUAUGCUCCUUAUGCAAUGAAGAAGGCCACAAAGCCAAGAAAUGCCCUCAGAAGCUCCAGAAGCGUUAG